This 253-nucleotide ribosomal RNA is filed under the name uncultured bacterium. RNAcentral's name for it is "partial 16S ribosomal RNA". It matches the Rfam family "Bacterial small subunit ribosomal RNA", at positions 524 to 776 of the family's 1533-position model. The record is from RNAcentral.
UACGAAGGGGGCUAGCGUUGCUCGGAAUCACUGGGCGUAAAGGGUGCGUAGGCGGGUCUUUAAGUCAGGGGUGAAAUCCUGGAGCUCAACUCCAGAACUGCCUUUGAUACUGAAGAUCUUGAGUUCGGGAGAGGUGAGUGGAACUGCGAGUGUAGAGGUGAGAUUCGUAGAUAUUCGCAAGAACACCAGUGGCGAAGGCGGCUCACUGGCCCGAUACUGACGCUGAUGCACGAAAGCGUGGGGAGCAAACAGG